GAUGAACGCUGGCUACAGGCUUAACACAUGCAAGUCGAGGGGAAACGACGGGGAAGCUUGCUUCCCCGGGCGGCGACCGGCGCACGGGUGAGUAACGCGUAUCCAACCUGCCUCUGACUGAGGGAUAACCCGGCGAAAGUCGGCCUAAUACCUCAUGGCAUCGUCUGCGGGCAUCCAACGACGAUUAAAGAUUUCAUCGGUCAGGGAUGCGGAUGCGUCUGAUUAGCUUGUUGGCGGGGUAACGGCCCACCAAGGCGCCGAUCAGUAGGGGUUCUGAGAGGGAGGUCCCCCACAUUGGAACUGAGCCCCGGCCCCAACGCCUACGGGCGGCAGCAGUGCGUAAUAUUGGUCAAUGGGCGGGAGCCUGAACCGGCCAAGUAGCGUGCAGGAUGACCGCCCUAUGGGUUGUAAUCUGCUUUUAUGCGGGGAUAAAGUGAUGGACGUGUCCUUCAUUGCAGGUACCGCAUGAAUAAGGACCGGCUAAUUCCGUG
Molecule: ribosomal RNA, 491 nt
Filed under: uncultured bacterium
Lineage: Bacteria
Description: partial 16S ribosomal RNA
Rfam family: Bacterial small subunit ribosomal RNA
Source: RNAcentral